RNAcentral lists this ribosomal RNA (394 nucleotides) under uncultured bacterium. RNAcentral's name for it is "partial 16S ribosomal RNA". It matches the Rfam family "Bacterial small subunit ribosomal RNA", at positions 523 to 918 of the family's 1533-position model. The record is from RNAcentral.
AUACGUAGGGAGCGAGCGUUGUCCGGAAUUACUGGGCGUAAAGGGCGCGUAGGCGGCGCUUCAAGUCGUCUGUCAAAUGGGAGGGCUUAACCCUUUUUCGCAGACGAAACUGGAGAGCUUGAGAAGCAGAGAGGCAAACAGAAUUCCUGGUGCAGCGGUGAAAUGCGUAGAUAUCAGGAAGAAUACCAGUGGCGAAGGCGGUUUGCUGGCUGCAUACUGACGCUGAAGCGCGAAAGCCAGGGGAGCAAACGGGAUUAGAUACCCCGGUAGUCCUGGCAGUAAACGAUGUAUGCUGGGUGUGAGACUAGCGAUAGUUUCGUGCCGAAGUUAACGCGAUAAGCAUACCGCCUGGGGAGUACGGUCGCAAGAUUGAAACUCAAAGGAAUUGACGGGG